This 505-nucleotide ribosomal RNA is filed under the name uncultured bacterium. RNAcentral's name for it is "partial 16S ribosomal RNA". It matches the Rfam family "Bacterial small subunit ribosomal RNA", at positions 28 to 507 of the family's 1533-position model. The record is from RNAcentral.
GACGAACGCUGGCGGCGUGCCUAAUACAUGCAAGUAGAACGCACACUUUCUGCCGUGGCUUGCUGCGCCGUGGACGGGGGAUUACUAACGCGUGAGGAACGCAUACGUAAGGUGUCUGUUAGCGGGGGAGAACUUUUUGCAACGCUAGCUAAUACCGUGUAAGCUUGAGUAUUGCAUGCUAAUUGAUUUAAAGAUGCUAGUUCAUCACUACGAUAUGUAGCUGCGUUGUAUUAGCUAGGAGGGGAGGUAACGGGUCACCUAGGCGACGCUACCUAGCCGACCUGAGAGGGUGAUCGGCCAAACUGGGACUGAGACACGGCCCAGACUCCUACGGGAGGCAGCAGUAGGGAAUCUUCGGCAAUGGACGAAAGUCUGACCGAGCAACGCCGCGUGAGUGAAGAAGGUUUUCGGAUCGUAAAGCUCUGUUGUAAGAGAAGAACGGGUGUGAGAGUGGAAAGUUCACACUGUGACGGUAUCUUACCAGAAAGGGACGGCUAACUACGUG